This 384-nucleotide ribosomal RNA is filed under the name uncultured bacterium. RNAcentral describes it as "bacterial SSU rRNA". It matches the Rfam family "Bacterial small subunit ribosomal RNA", at positions 29 to 430 of the family's 1533-position model. The record is from RNAcentral.
AACGAACGCUGGCGGCAUGCCUAACACAUGCAAGUCGAACGGGAUCCUGGCUUCGGUCAGGUGAGAGUGGCGGACGGGUGAGUAACGCGUGGGAACCUGCCCAGUGGUGGGGGAUAACUGCGGGAAACUGCAGCUAAUACCGCAUGAGCCCGAGAGGGGAAAGAUUUAUCGCCAUUGGAGGGGCCCGCGUUCGAUUAGGUAGUUGGUGAGGUAACGGCUCACCAAGCCGACGAUCGAUAGCUGGUCUGAGAGGAUGAUCAGCCACACUGGGACUGAGAUACGGCCCAGACUCCUACGGGAGGCAGCAGUGGGGAAUAUUGGACAAUGGGGGCAACCCGUGAUCCAGCAAUGCCGCGUGAGUGAUGAAGGCCUUCGGUUGUAAAG